This 456-nucleotide ribosomal RNA is filed under the name Dendropsophus aff. minutus. RNAcentral describes it as "partial 16S ribosomal RNA". It matches the Rfam family "Bacterial large subunit ribosomal RNA", at positions 1819 to 2484 of the family's 2925-position model. The record is from RNAcentral. Lineage: Eukaryota; Metazoa; Chordata; Amphibia; Anura; Hylidae.
CGCCUCUUGAAACUACAUAAGAGGUCCAGCCUGCCCAGUGACUAAGUUCAACGGCCGCGGUAUCCUAACCGUGCGAAGGUAGCGUAAUCACUUGUUCUUUAAAUGAGGACUAGUAUGAAUGGCACCACGAGGGUUAUGCUGUCUCCUUUUUCUAAUCAAUGAAACUGAUCUCCCCGUGAAGAAGCGGGGGUAUACCUAUAAGACGAGAAGACCCUAUGGAGCUUUAAACCAUGUAACACUGGCUUUAACAUUAAAAUAUUCCAGAAUUUUCAUAAUUACUCUAGCCACUAUGAUUACUAGUUUUAGGUUGGGGUGACCGCGGAGCAAAAAUUAACCUCCACAUUGAACGGAGCUACUCCUGAGCCAAAAGCCACGACUUUAAGCACUAAUAAAUUAACAUCAAUUGACCCAAUAUUUUUGAUCAACGAACCAAGUUACCCUAGGGAUAACAGCGCA